CACAGUUUGAUCCUGGCUCAGAACGAACGCUGGCGGCAGGCCUAACACAUGCAAGUCGAACGCCCCGCAAGGGGAGUGGCAGACGGGUGAGUAACGCGUGGGAACCUACCUUGUGGUACGGAACAACCAAGGGAAACUUAGGCUAAUACCGUAUGAGCCCGAGAGGGGAAAGAUUUAUCGCCAUGAGAUGGGCCCGCGUAGGAUUAGCUAGUUGGUGAGGUAAUGGCUCACCAAGGCGACGAUCCUUAGCUGGUCUGAGAGGAUGACCAGCCACACUGGGACUGAGACACGGCCCAGACUCCUACGGGAGGCAGCAGUGGGGAAUAUUGGACAAUGGGCGCAAGCCUGAUCCAGCCAUGCCGCGUGUGUGAUGAAGGCCUUAGGGUUGUAAAGCACUUUCGCCGAUGAAGAUAAUGACGGGAGUCGGAAAACAACCCCCGGUUACUUUCGCUGCCACAGCCGCGGCAAUAUGAACGGGGCCACCCCUCCUCCUAAUCACUGCCCCGAACGCACCCCCAGGCCGCCUAUCACCUCUCCUUGAACCGCCCGGCACUCCUCUGCGCCACCCCUCGCGGACUGCGCCCAUCGACUCUCCCGCCCCCGGCUCGCAUCCUGACGCUCCCAUAUCGACCCCAACGCCACUCCAUAUCGACGCAUUCCUAUCCAUUACCUUCUCCUGUGGCCCGCUGCCGUGCUCCCUGACGGGCGCCCCUGGCCGCGCGCCGGUUACGCUCCCCUAAUGCUCUCUCUCCUUCGCCUUCUAGCUAUACUGCCUGCUCCAGCGCCAUCCCUUCUCCACGGCCUACCCUUGUCGCCAUCUGUUCGCUCUGCCCGUA
This 836-nucleotide ribosomal RNA is filed under the name uncultured Sphingobacteriales bacterium. RNAcentral's name for it is "bacterial SSU rRNA". The stretch from base 3 to 491 matches the Rfam family "Bacterial small subunit ribosomal RNA", at positions 9 to 546 of the family's 1533-position model. Lineage: Bacteria; Pseudomonadati; Bacteroidota; Sphingobacteriia; Sphingobacteriales. The record is from RNAcentral.